RNAcentral lists this long non-coding RNA (212 nucleotides) under Trifolium pratense (red clover). Its description in RNAcentral is "long non-coding RNA (TPRA_LNC013007)". Lineage: Eukaryota; Viridiplantae; Streptophyta; Magnoliopsida; Fabales; Fabaceae. The record is from RNAcentral.
AUUCCAAGAACAGACUUAGAAAGGUAAUAUCAACAGUGUUAUCUCUACACAAGUUGAAUAUAUGGGCAACUAAUCCUAAUUGGUUCCACAUGAACCGACCUUGCUCUGAUACCACUAUUGUAACACCCAAACCCCUUAACGCGAAUUUAUUGAAUAUAAAUAAAUAAAACACUUAAGAAAAUCUAGGCGUCACAUGUUAUAAUACAAAAUCA